UCCAGACUCCUACGGGAGGCAGCAGUGGGGAAUAUUGGACAAUGGGCGAAAGCCUGAUCCAGCCAUGCCGCGUGUGUGAAGAAGGUCUUCGGAUUGUAAAGCACUUUAAGUUGGGAGGAAGGGCAGUAAGUUAAUACCUUGCUGUUUUGACGUUACCAACAGAAUAAGCACCGGCUAACUUCGUGCCAGCAGCCGCGGUAAUACGAAGGGUGCAAGCGUUAAUCGGAAUUACUGGGCGUAUUUCGCGCGUAGGUGGUUCGUUAAGUUGUAUGUGAAAGCCCCGGGCUCAACCUGGGAACUGCAUCCAAAACUGGCGAGCUAGAGUACGGUAGAGGGUGGUGGAAUUUCCUGUGUAGCGGUGAAAUGCGUAGAUAUAGGAAGGAACACCAGUG
Molecule: ribosomal RNA, 392 nt
Filed under: uncultured Pseudomonas sp.
Lineage: Bacteria; Pseudomonadati; Pseudomonadota; Gammaproteobacteria; Pseudomonadales; Pseudomonadaceae
Description: bacterial SSU rRNA
Rfam family: Bacterial small subunit ribosomal RNA
Source: RNAcentral